ACCACAAAAGAGGAAAAAGAAUGCGGUCUCUCGAGACAAGCAUCAUUUUACUUUCGAGAACAAUUUCUAAAACUCUCAAGAUUAUACGAGAAACUUGCCCUUAGCGGAAAUUGAGAGUUUGAGAAAGGACGACUGCCGGCACCUUGACGAACUCAGAAC
This is a long non-coding RNA of Habropoda laboriosa, 159 nucleotides long. RefSeq lists it as uncharacterized. The record is from RefSeq and is a predicted model, not a curated record. Lineage: Eukaryota; Metazoa; Arthropoda; Insecta; Hymenoptera; Apidae. The transcript has 3 exons.